GGCAGGCCUAACACAUGCAAGUCGAACGCGAAAGUUCCUUCGGGGGCGAGUAGAGUGGCGGACGGGUGAGUAACGCGUAGGAAUCUGCCCUGUAGUGGGGGAUAACCCGGGGAAACUCGGGCUAAUACCGCAUACGCCCCAAGGGGGAAAGCGGGGGAUCCUCUAGAGACUCGAUGCAAGAGGCAAGAAGCGAGAGAAGACGGGCAACACGCUAGCGUGUUGCGGUCUUCAGGGUCUUGGCUCUUGGAGGUUGCGAAGCGACCGAUCUGGCGUCUAGUGUCUAGAGGGCCUCGCGCUAUGGGAGGAGCCUGCGUCGGAUUAGCUAGUUGGUAGGGUAAAGGCCUACCAAGGCGACGAUCCGUAGCUGGUCUGAGAGGAUGAUCAGCCACACCGGAACUGAGACACGGUCCGGACUCCUACGGGAGGCAGCAGUGGGGAAUAUUGCGCAAUGGGCGAAAGCCUGACGCAGCCAUGCCGCGUGUGUGAAGAAAGCCUUCGGGUUGUAAAGCACUUUCAGUGGGGAGGAAAGGGCACUGGUUAAUACCCAGUGCAGUUGACGUUACCCACAGAAGAAGCACCGGCUAAUUCCGUGCCAGCAGCCGCGGUAAUACCGAAGGUGCGAGCGUUAAUCGGAAUUACUGGGCG
This 645-nucleotide ribosomal RNA is filed under the name uncultured Gammaproteobacteria bacterium. RNAcentral describes it as "bacterial SSU rRNA". It matches the Rfam family "Bacterial small subunit ribosomal RNA", at positions 41 to 560 of the family's 1533-position model. Lineage: Bacteria; Pseudomonadati; Pseudomonadota; Gammaproteobacteria. The record is from RNAcentral.